This 676-nucleotide long non-coding RNA is filed under the name Felis catus (domestic cat). Its description in RNAcentral is "lncRNA (ENSFCAG00000053702.1)". Lineage: Eukaryota; Metazoa; Chordata; Mammalia; Carnivora; Felidae. The record is from RNAcentral.
UCAGAAAUACAACUAAAUAUUAUCAAAUGUAAAAUGCCACUGCUUGUGUCAUUGUUUUAUUUACCAUCACAAAAGGAAAUACACAACUUUGAUCAUUGUAGCUGUAAGACUCCACCAGUUGGAAGAGACAUGGGAAUUUAAGAGAUUUUUACACUAGUGUGUGUGUGUGUGUGUGGGGGGGGGGGAUGUGCCUUUAAAACCAGUGAAAUAUAAUAACAGACUUGCCCGACCUCACACAGAGUUGGUGGCAGAAGGAGAAUUUUAGUGCAAGGGAUGCCAGUGACUCCCAAGGUUUUGCUCCAAGUCAGUGUUUAUUCACUGUUAUGAGCCACUCUCCACCCUCAGCGGAUCUCUGAGCAGCUCUGCCCUGGGGCAGGCUUUCCAGUCCUCCAUCUUGUAUUAGAGUUCGCCUGAAGAUGCUCCAGCUCUGAGUUCCUUGAACAUGGACAGACAGACGGACACAUAGGAGUUUGGCUCACCAGCACCAGUGACUUGGCAUUUCAGAGGUUUAUAUAUGGUGACUGCUAAAAGUAUAACACAGAGUGAUUCAAUGAGGAAUCAUCAGGAAGACCAGCCCCAGUGUGGACUUGACCACCAGCUCCACAUCGGUCCCAUGACGCCUGAAACAUUAUGUUCAGAAGAACACCAUCCUCUCAACAGAGAUACCCGCUGCUGA